GCCUCAGUGAACCGUGCAAUUGGAAAACAUGCAUCAAAACAGAUUCUGAGAUCAGAACAUUCUCAAAAAGAACAAUACAUGGCCACAGUGACAGAUUAUAAGAUGUAAUACACACACGUGGCCAGUAGAGGGAACCUGAUCAGUAGCGGAUGCUUCACUGCAUUCAACG
Molecule: long non-coding RNA, 169 nt
Organism: Lacerta agilis (Sand lizard)
Lineage: Eukaryota; Metazoa; Chordata; Lepidosauria; Squamata; Lacertidae
Exons: 3
Source: RefSeq, a predicted model, not a curated record